RNAcentral lists this long non-coding RNA (877 nucleotides) under Linum usitatissimum (flax). RNAcentral describes it as "long non-coding RNA (LUSI_LNC002281)". The record is from RNAcentral. Lineage: Eukaryota; Viridiplantae; Streptophyta; Magnoliopsida; Malpighiales; Linaceae.
CCUUAUGUCAUCACAUUUUGGGGGCCUCGACCCUAUCGUCCGACUCCUCACCAUCAUCAUUUCUGCAACUCCUUUCUGCAGCUGCUCAAUACACAUACAUCACAUGGUGUAAUAUAAUAUUGUCAAUUAGGAGCAAGUAGCUAGGAGGCAUUAUGAAGGACAAGGAAGCAUGAACAAAAUGAAAGCUUCAAUUCUUUACCUGUUGAGCUUCAAGCAGCUUGGUGAUUGUUCUUCCUAUGAAAAGUUAGGCAUUCAGCUGCUACAUAUAUAUAUAUCGAAGUAGUCGAAAUCCUGCAGGAUAAAGUUUACUACUUUACUUACCUUGGGUUUGAAAUGUGAGGAGGGCGAGCAGAAGAAAUAGCAAGCAAAAAUGAGGAGUACUGCUCAUCUGCUGAUGUCGUUAGAGAAAUCUUGGAGAGGAUAUGUUUUAGGAGAAAGAGGUGGGUGGAAACAGAGUAAAUUAUAAAUAGUGGACCUCUAACACUUGGCAGCAGCCUCUGCCUAGUUUCAUGAACUCGAUCUCUUAUUACCCAUCUGAGCAAAGAGUGAAAUAGAUAAAGCUAUGCAUGAGAAUCACAGCACAAUUGGCAGAGGUGGUGAUGGGUAUGGGUGAGAUCACAAAUUUAUGAUUUGAGAUUUGUGAAGGGUUGGGAUUUGGGAACAGUUAGACUUGUCUCUCUGUGGUGGGAGGGAGCUACAAUUUCACACGCCAAUGUCCAUUUCAAUUCAAGUUUGGGUAAUAUAGGCUUUCUUUCUGCCUUGGAAUCACCAUUACAUUUAGAUUGUAUGCUUCCCAAGGACUGGAGGAUACUAUUUUUAGGGUAGGCAUAUGGAGUUUGCUUGAGAAUUGAGAAGUUCAGCAUUAUUUGUGAGCCGC